CCUACGGGAGGCAGCAGUGGGGAAUAUUGCACAAUGGGGGAAACCCUGAUGCAGCGACGCCGCGUGAGUGAAGAAGUAAUUCGUUAUGUAAAGCUCUAUCAGCAGGGAAGAAAAUGACGGUACCUGAGUAAGAAGCCCCGGCUAACUACGUGCCAGCAGCCGCGGUAAUACGUAGGGGGCAAGCGUUAUCCGGAUUUACUGGGUGUAAAGGGAGCGUAGACGGCAGUGCAAGUCUGGAGUGAAAGGCGGGGGCUCAACCCCCGGACUGCUCUGGAAACUGUACGGCUUGAGUGCAGGAGAGGUAAGUGGAAUUCCUGGUGUAGCGGUGAAAUGCGUAGAGAUUAGGAGGAACACCAGUGGCGAAGGCGGCUUACUGGACUGUAACUGACGUUGAGGCGCGAAAGCGUGGGGAGCAAACAGGAUUAGAUACCCCUGUAGUC
RNAcentral lists this ribosomal RNA (440 nucleotides) under uncultured bacterium. Its description in RNAcentral is "partial 16S ribosomal RNA". It matches the Rfam family "Bacterial small subunit ribosomal RNA", at positions 338 to 795 of the family's 1533-position model. The record is from RNAcentral.